UCUCUGGAGGGAAGCACUUUCUG
RNAcentral lists this microRNA (23 nucleotides) under Gorilla gorilla (western gorilla). RNAcentral's name for it is "ggo-miR-518c-5p". Its record names the gene ggo-miR-518c-5p. Lineage: Eukaryota; Metazoa; Chordata; Mammalia; Primates; Hominidae. RNAcentral also lists the same sequence under 2 other names. The record is from miRBase by way of RNAcentral.